Molecule: ribosomal RNA, 67 nt
Filed under: bacterium
Lineage: Bacteria
Description: partial 16S ribosomal RNA
Rfam family: Bacterial small subunit ribosomal RNA
Source: RNAcentral
ACCGGCGAUGGGGACUAAGUCGUAACAAGGUAUCCCUACUGGAAGGUGGGGAUGGAUCACCUCCUUU